Chelonia mydas (Green sea turtle) is the source of this 521-nucleotide long non-coding RNA. RefSeq lists it as uncharacterized. The transcript is spliced from 3 exons. NCBI's taxonomy places the organism in Eukaryota, Metazoa, Chordata, Testudines, Cheloniidae. The record is from RefSeq and is a predicted model, not a curated record.
GGCGGAGCCUCCUGGCGAAGGGACAGCGGGGCCUGGCGGGGGCGGCACUAACGGGCCAAGGAACGGCCGUGAACCGCCGCCUGAGGGGAGCGGCCGGGCCCCUCACCUUCCUCUCGCGGCUCUUGCGCUCCUCUCGGCGCCUCUCGAACUCCUCGAAGGAGAUUUUCCCCUCCAGAUAAUUAUAUCUGGCACAAGGAUCUCCAAGAUAAGCUAGAUAUGGUGCAAUUUCCUGGUGCUGGAAGAUAGCAAGAUUGCAUCUGGGGAUACUAGAGUGGAUGAUUCCAAGGUAUUCUAGACAAAGAUUCUAACAAGGACUACACUCUUUAACUUGUUCUUAUUCAGUAAUAUCAAUUCAAAACUGCUGUGACAUUUGAUUGUAGUUCUCAUAUAUUUUUCUCCUUACAGUUUAAAGAACAUUUUAGUUACAGCAGUUGCACUAAACUGUCAUUUUUCAAGAUGGGAAUCUUGGUCAUUCUUUUAGCACCAGCCCAUUGUUAUUAAUAAUAAAUAUUUGUAUAAAA